Molecule: long non-coding RNA, 529 nt
Filed under: Androctonus crassicauda
Lineage: Eukaryota; Metazoa; Arthropoda; Arachnida; Scorpiones; Buthidae
Source: RNAcentral
UGUUGGUAUUAUCUAGUGAAAUUUUUCGAAGAGAAAAAAAAACAAUAACUCUAGGGUAAAUGGAGGCUGGGGAAUGUUUGAUCCCCAUCUUCUCUGUUGCUGCACAACUUAAGCAGUGUUUUUCUUCUCCUCCGUUCGUUAAGAUCUGGUGUGACCGCUUUCGUUCCCUCGGCACUUCUCUCACUUCUUUGAAAGUAUCCGAGAUCUACCGUCUCCUUCGGUCCGAUGUGGCUUUCACCCCUUCACCUGUGGCGAUUAAUGCCGCCUUCCAGCUUUCGACUGUCUGGGGUAGAUGAGCCCGAGUCCGAGCCCUGCACUCACCUAUAGUGGCAAAUCCUUCAUCGGGCUCUAUCCACUAGGUAUAAACUUUCUUUAGUUAGGGCUCGAUCUUAUCUUGUGAUUUGUGCGAUCUGGACAUAGAAACAAUUGAACACCUUUUGUUCUACUGUCCUGUAGCCAGGAAGCUUUGGGGCUGGGUAGCGCGCCUCCUCGGCGUCCCUCUCCUGUCACGUAAGAACAUUGUUCUCCA